This is a long non-coding RNA of Solanum pennellii, 539 nucleotides long. RefSeq lists it as uncharacterized. Lineage: Eukaryota; Viridiplantae; Streptophyta; Magnoliopsida; Solanales; Solanaceae. The record is from RefSeq and is a predicted model, not a curated record. The transcript has 2 exons.
CCAUAUUAGUUGAAAGACAGAAAAUUGAAAGACUUCGAUCCUCUUUCCAUAUAUUUAGCCCUCAUCCAACCAAACAAACUUCCCCCAAUCAAUGCCCUUUCCUUUUGCCCUUCCAUCUUCUUUCAAUAACCCAAUUAACAAAACCUUCAUCUUGUGUGUGUGUGUGUGAGAGAGAGACAAUAGAAAUGGAUCCACCACAGGUAGAGACCAUGGACAUCUCCAGCAAAAGUUAUCCCCCAAUUGAAGAUGAACAGGACAAAAUAGUUGACCAGUGUUGUUCUUGCUUUUACGACUGUACUAAUUGCUUGUUGGACUACUUGUGCUGCUAUGAUUUCUGGUGUUCUUAGGGCUACACAUUAUAUAACUACUCUCUAGAAUGGAACUUGUAGUUAUGUUCUUUCGCUUUUGCACUGCAUUACUUCAUUUAGAUCAAAGUUAUUUGUCCAUCUUAUAUAAGUUCUAAUUAGAAUUUGAGACGGUCAAUGUCUUCUUCAUUGUCAUCUUUUUCCAAUUAAAUAUAUGGUUAUGAUGGUCCAUAA